GCUGGGGCUCAGUGGUAGAGAACCUGCCCAGCAUGUAUGAGGCCCUGGGUUCGAGUCUCAGCACUGCA
RNAcentral lists this transfer RNA (68 nucleotides) under Marmota monax (woodchuck). RNAcentral's name for it is "tRNA.Ala". The record is from RNAcentral. Lineage: Eukaryota; Metazoa; Chordata; Mammalia; Rodentia; Sciuridae.